UUUCGGUUGCCCUUCUCUUAGCAAGAAGAUUGUCUUUUCCUCUAAAGAUUGCGUAGAUUCUUGAAACUUCAAGAGAACACUUCCAGCUUCAUAUUGAUCAUGAGAAGACUAUUGGAUAUGCUGAUAGAGAUGAUUGAAAUCUGACAUUGGUGCUGUAAUCUAUGCUUUAGUUUAGAAAUCUAGUACUCUAUCUCUUGGGAAGUAUAUGUAUUGGUCAUUAUUACUUGAACUGAUUAUGUGGGAUUUGGGACCCAACAUUUGUGAUUCACUUUUAUUUUGAUUAAUUUAAAGAUGUGUUAUGACCAUAUA
Molecule: long non-coding RNA, 309 nt
Organism: Coffea eugenioides
Lineage: Eukaryota; Viridiplantae; Streptophyta; Magnoliopsida; Gentianales; Rubiaceae
Exons: 2
Source: RefSeq, a predicted model, not a curated record